GCAGCAACCACCACCUCAGCCACCCUAACCCACCCCGUCCGCCACACCACUCCCACCUCCUCUGUUUGAAACCCUAAGCACCACCAAUCUCAUCCGCCACACCACUCCCAUCUCUGUCGUCUGCACACACCCUUUUCUCUCUCUAAACCCUUUCUUCCCCAACCUAAUCCACAUCCCCAUUUCUGCAAUUUGACACCAACCAAAGUCACCACCACCACUAUUUCCAGCGACAUCCAGUCACCACCACCACCAUUGAUUCUCCAUCCCCCAAAAACAAGGCCGCCGACUCGCCGCCAUCCUUCUUGAACCCAAAAUCUGAACAACGUAAGCCGAUUUGAACUAGAUCUCACCGGAUCUGUCAUGGCCCAUUGAUUCUUCGUUCUCGUUGCUGGUGUCUAUAAAAAGCGUGUGAAGAUCCGACGCCGAUGAUUAACUUAUGAUUUUUGUUAUUGUUGUUUAUAAAAAGCUUGUGAUUUUAGUUAAAUCAUAAAGUAAACUUAUGAUUUUUGUUAUUCAAGUUUCUGAUCUGAAUUAAAUUGUAGAGCGAUUUGUUUAUUGUAAACUUGAUGUGAAUAUAGUUCAAUCUUAGAGUAAAUUUAUGAUUUAUAAGAUGCCAUAG
This 619-nucleotide long non-coding RNA is filed under the name Helianthus annuus (common sunflower). RNAcentral describes it as "hypothetical non coding rna". Lineage: Eukaryota; Viridiplantae; Streptophyta; Magnoliopsida; Asterales; Asteraceae. The record is from RNAcentral.